AGAGUUUGAUCAUGGCUCAGAGCGAACGCUGGCGGCAGGCUUAACACAUGCAAGUCGAACGGGCACUUCGGUGCUAGUGGCAGACGGGUGAGUAACACGUGGGAACGUACCUUUCGGUUCGGAAUAAUUCAGGGAAACUUGGACUAAUACCGGAUAAGCCCUUCGGGGGAAAGAUUUAUCGCCGAUAGAUCGGCCCGCGUCUGAUUAGCUAGUUGGUGAGGUAACGGCUCACCAAGGCGACGAUCAGUAGCUGGUCUGAGAGGAUGAUCAGCCACAUUGGGACUGAGACACGGCCCAAACUCCUACGGGAGGCAGCAGUGGGGAAUAUUGGACAAUGGGCGAAAGCCUGAUCCAGCCAUGCCGCGUGUGUGAUGAAGGCCUUAGGGUUGUAAAGCACUUUUGUCCGGGAAGAUAAUGACUGUACCGGAAGAAUAAGCCCCGGCUAACUUCGUGCCAGCAGCCGCGGUAAUACGAAGGGGGCUAGCGUUGCUCGGAAUCACUGGGCGUAAAGGGCGCGUAGGCGGACUCUUAAGUCGGGGGUGAAAGCCCAGGGCUCAACCCUGGAAUUGCCUUCGAUACUGAGAGUCUUGAGUUCGGAAGAGGUUGGUGGAACUGCGAGUGUAGAGGUGAAAUUCGUAGAUAUUCGCAAGAACACCAGUGGCGAAGGCGGCCAACUGGUCCGAUACUGACGCUGAGGCGCGAAAGCGUGGGGAGCAAACAGGAUUAGAUACCCCGGUAGUCC
This 742-nucleotide ribosomal RNA is filed under the name uncultured bacterium. Its description in RNAcentral is "bacterial SSU rRNA". It matches the Rfam family "Bacterial small subunit ribosomal RNA", at positions 8 to 796 of the family's 1533-position model. The record is from RNAcentral.